This 427-nucleotide unclassified non-coding RNA is filed under the name Hevea brasiliensis (rubber tree). The record is from RNAcentral. Lineage: Eukaryota; Viridiplantae; Streptophyta; Magnoliopsida; Malpighiales; Euphorbiaceae.
CUUCCAUGGAGAUGUCUAGGAGAUGCAAGGAAAAGCAAUCCUCUGAGAGGAGAGUUAUCGCAGGAGAAGCAAAGACGAUGAUCCAUGAUAGGAUUCCUACAGAGGAAGUGAUGAAGCUAGCUGCCAUUGCAAUCAGCUUAAAUGUGCGGCCGAGAUCAUCCGAUAUGCCACUGCAUAUGCAAGAACGUGCUUUUCGCUAUGCAAGAUCUUUUCUUGACUCAGCUCCAAAACACCGCCCCAAUCCAACCCACCUUGCUCGAGCCCUUAAAAAGGAGUUUGACUCGGCCUACGGGCUAGCAUGGCACUGUGUAGUGNGAGUUUCGGAUCGUUUGUGACUCACUCAGCGGGUGGGUUCGUGUACUUCUGUGUAGAGCCGCUGUCUAUUCUUCUGUUCAAAACAGAGGUAGAGUUGGUGACGGAAUUGGAG